GACUGUUAUCACAUGAAGAGAGGCCGGGUUCCAGCCCUCCAGGGGAACUGAAUUCUGUUUAGCCCGGUGUGCGUGUCGUGAGUCUUUCUUAUGUGCCUAGCUGUGUGGGAGGCUCAACAUGAAUCAGACACUGUCCCUGACAUUUAGAAGAAAAAUGUACAAACCUGGAGCCACUGGAGCAGAGAGAAAGGAAAGAAAAUCUCUACCGGAGUGGAAGGGCAUCCUGGAAGCCUUCCCAGGAGAGGUGACGCGUGGCCCACGCCUCAAAGGACAACAAUCAGAAUAUCAAACACUUUCUGGACGUGUAUUAGAUGAGAAAACCAAACCAAAGCACAGAGAGGUUGAAUGGCUUACCCAAGUCCAGACAGCUACCAAAUGGCAGAGCCAGGAUUCGAACCCCUGGAAGGCAAAUCAGUUACUGACUGUGAGACCUCUGCCAAGUUAUUUAAU
Molecule: long non-coding RNA, 450 nt
Filed under: Homo sapiens (human)
Lineage: Eukaryota; Metazoa; Chordata; Mammalia; Primates; Hominidae
Description: HSALNT0370517
Source: RNAcentral